UCGUGCUAGACGGGGAGUUAGCGGUGCCCUGUAACCCGAGAUCCGCUUAUGCGGGGUUGAAAACCCUUCACAGGAAUCGUGAUUUCGGCGUGAUCUCUUGUCAUCUUUGGGUCGAAGUGGACCGCACGUGACAGACGCUUAUGAACCCCGUCAGAUCCGGGAGGAAGCAGCGGUAAGUAAGGCAGCCUGUGUCGUGUUGAUAUCUAUUUUAGCUCAAGGUGUUAAUGUCAUCUCGUUCACGCUUCAAGUAAGGAUGCGCGA
This 261-nucleotide signal recognition particle RNA is filed under the name Deltaproteobacteria bacterium. RNAcentral describes it as "signal recognition particle sRNA large type". It matches the Rfam family "Bacterial large signal recognition particle RNA". From Rfam's summary of the family: The signal recognition particle (SRP) is a universally conserved ribonucleoprotein involved in the co-translational targeting of proteins to membranes. Archaeal SRP consists of a 7S RNA and homologues of the eukaryotic SRP19 and SRP54 proteins. Lineage: Bacteria; Pseudomonadati; Myxococcota; Myxococcia. The record is from RNAcentral.